Molecule: ribosomal RNA, 400 nt
Filed under: phytoplankton environmental sample
Lineage: Eukaryota
Description: partial small subunit ribosomal RNA
Rfam family: Eukaryotic small subunit ribosomal RNA
Source: RNAcentral
AGCUCCAAUAGCGUAUAUUAAAGUUGUUGCAGUUAAAAAGCUCGUAGUUGAAUUUCUGGUUAGAAUAGUCGGUCUUGCACUCAGUGUAAGUACCAGACUCUUCUUCCCAUCUUUAGGGAGAACUCAUAUGGCAUUAAUUUGUUGUGUGAUGUAUCCUUAUCGUUUACUGUGAAAAAAUUAGAGUGUUCAAAGCAGGCUUAUGCCGUUGAAUAUAUUAGCAUGGAAUAAUAAGAUAGGACUAUGGUACUAUUUUGUUGGUUUGUGCACCAUGGUAAUGAUUAAAAGAAACAGUCAGGGGUAUUAGUAUUCCGUAGUCAGAGGUGAAAUUCUUGGAUUUGCGGAAGACUCACAACUGCGAAAGCAUUUACCAGGGAUGUUUUCAUUAAUCAAGAACGAAAGU